Molecule: microRNA, 20 nt
Filed under: Callorhinchus milii (elephant shark)
Lineage: Eukaryota; Metazoa; Chordata; Chondrichthyes; Chimaeriformes; Callorhinchidae
Description: eshark_NOVEL_204
Source: RNAcentral
CCCUACCGUUCUGUGAGGUG